GGGGAAUUUUGGACAAUGGGCGCAAGCCUGAUCCAGCAAUGCCGCGUGAGUGAAGAAGGCCUUCGGGUUGUAAAGCUCUUUUGUCAGGGAAGAAACGGGCCUUUCUAAUACAGGGGCCUAACGACGGUACCUGAAGAAUAAGCACCGGCUAACUACGUGCCAGCAGCCGCGGUAAUACGUAGGGUGCAAGCGUUAAUCGGAAUUACUGGGCGUAAAGCGUGCGCAGGCGGUUUUGUAAGACUGUCGUGAAAUCCCCGGGCUCAACCUGGGAAUGGCGAUGGUGACUGCAAGGCUAGAGUUUGGCAGAGGGGGGUAGAAUUCCACGUGUAGCAGUGAAAUGCGUAGAUAUGUGGAGGAACACCGAUGGCGAAGGCAGCCCUCUGGGUCAAAACUGACGCUCAUGCACGAAAGCGUGGGGAGCAAAC
Molecule: ribosomal RNA, 425 nt
Filed under: uncultured bacterium
Lineage: Bacteria
Description: bacterial SSU rRNA
Rfam family: Bacterial small subunit ribosomal RNA
Source: RNAcentral